UACGUAGGGGGCAAGCGUUGUCCGGAUUUAUUGGGCGUAAAGAGCGUGUAGGCGGCCAGAUAGGUCAGCUGUGAAAACUCGAGGCUCAACCUCGAGACGUCGGUUGAAACCAUCUGGCUAGAGUCCGGAAGAGGAGAGUGGAAUUCCCGGUGUAGCGGUGAGAUGCGCAGAUAUCGGGAAGAACACCCGUGGCGAAGGCGGCUCUCUGGGACGGUACUGACGCUGAGACGCGAAAGCGUGGGGAGCGAACAGG
Molecule: ribosomal RNA, 253 nt
Filed under: uncultured bacterium
Lineage: Bacteria
Description: partial 16S ribosomal RNA
Rfam family: Bacterial small subunit ribosomal RNA
Source: RNAcentral